GGUUAAGUGAAUAAGGGCGCACGGUGGAUGCCUUGGCACUAGGAGCCGAUGAAGGACGGGACUAACACCGAUAUGCUUUGGGGAGCUGUAAGUAAGCUAUGAUCCAGAGAUUUCCGAAUGGGGGAACCCAACAUCUUUUAUAGGAUGUUACUUUUCAGUGAAUACAUAGCUGAUUAGAGGUAGACGCAGAGAACUGAAACAUCUAAGUACCUGCAGGAAGAGAAAGAAAAUUCGAUUCCCUGAGUAGCGGCGAGCGAAACGGGAAAAGCCCAAACCAAGAUGCUUGCAUCUUGGGGUUGUAGGACUCCAAUAUGGUAGUACGAUCAGAUAGUCGAAUGACUUGGAAAAGUCAGUCAAAGAGGGUAAAAACCCCGUAGACGAAAUUUGGUAUGCACCUAGGAGGAUCCUGAGUACGGCGGAACACGAGAAAUUCCGUCGGAAUCCGGGAGGACCAUCUCCCAAGGCUAAAUACUCCCUAGUGACCGAUAGUGAACCAGUACCGUGAGGGAAAGGUGAAAAGCACCCCGGAAGGGGAGUGAAAUAGAUCCUGAAACCGUGUGCCUACAACAAGUCAAAGCCCGUUAAUGGGUGAUGGCGUGCCUUUUGUAGAAUGAACCGGCGAGUUACGAUUGCAUGCGAGGUUAAGCUGAAGAGGCGGAGCCGUAGCGAAAGCGAGUCUGAAUAGGGCGUUUUAGUAUGUAGUCGUAGACCCGAAACCAUGUGAUCUACCCAUGUCCAGGUUGAAGGUGCGGUAAAACGCACUGGAGGACCGAACCCACGUACGUUGAAAAGUGCGGGGAUGAGGUGUGGGUAGCGGAGAAAUUCCAAUCGAACUUGGAGAUAGCUGGUUCUCUCCGAAAUAGCUUUAGGGCUAGCCUCGGAUUUAAGAAUGAUGGAGGUAGAGCACUGUUUGGACUAGGGGCCCAUCUCGGGUUACCGAAUUCAGAUAAACUCCGAAUGCCAUUCAUUUAUAUCCGGGAGUCAGACUGUGAGUGAUAAGAUCCAUAGUCGAAAGGGAAACAGCCCAGACCACCAGCUAAGGUCCCAAAAUAUAUGUUAAGUGGAAAAGGAUGUGGGGUUGCACAGACAACUAGGAUGUUGGCUCAGAAGCAGCCACCAUUUAAAGAGUGCGUAAUAGCUCACUAGUCGAGUGACCCUGCGCCGAAAAUGUACCGGGGCUAAACAUAUUACCGAAGCUGUGGAGUGUACCUUUGGUACACUGGUAGGAGAGCGUUCUAAGGGCGUUGAAGGUAGACCGUGAGGACUACUGGAGCGCUUAGAAGUGAGAAUGCCGGUAUGAGUAGCGAAAGACAGGUGAGAAUCCUGUCCACCGAAUGACUAAGGUUUCCUGGGGAAGGCUCGUCCGCCCAGGGUUAGUCGGGACCUAAGCCGAGGCCGACAGGCGUAGGCGAUGGACAACAGGUUGAUAUUCCUGUACUCGUUGUUUUUGUUUGAGCAAUGGAGGGACGCAGGAGGCUAAGGAAUGCAGACGAUCGGAAAUGUCUGUCCAAGCAACAAGUCUUAGUGAGAGUCAAAUGCUUUCACUUUCAAGGACAAGUUGUGAUGGGGAGGGAAAUAAUAGUACCGAAGUUCCUGAUGUCACACUGCCAAGAAAAGCUUCUAGUG
This is a ribosomal RNA of Enterococcus sulfureus ATCC 49903, 1626 nucleotides long. It matches the Rfam family "Bacterial large subunit ribosomal RNA", at positions 1 to 1627 of the family's 2925-position model. NCBI's taxonomy places the organism in Bacteria, Bacillati, Bacillota, Bacilli, Lactobacillales, Enterococcaceae. The record is from Rfam.